CGUCGCAUUAGCUAGUUGGUGAGGUAACGGCUCACCAAGGCAACGAUGCGUAGCCGACCUGAGAGGGUGAUCGGCCACACUGGGACUGAGACACGGCCCAGACUCCUACGGGAGGCAGCAGUAGGGAAUCUUCCGCAAUGGACGAAAGUCUGACGGAGCAACGCCGCGUGAGUGAUGAAGGCUUUCGGGUCGUAAAACUCUGUUGUUAGGGAAGAACAAGUGCUAGUUGAAUAAGCUGGCACCUUGACGGUACCUAACCAGAAAGCCACGGCUAACUACGUGCCAGCAGCCGCGGUAAUACGUAGGUGGCAAGCGUUAUCCGGAAUUAUUGGGCGUAAAGCGCGCGCAGGUGGUUUCUUAAGUCUGAUGUGAAAGCCCACGGCUCAACCGUGGAGGGUCAUUGGAAACUGGGAGACUUGAGUGCAGAAGAGGAAAGUGGAAUUCCAUGUGUAGCGGUGAAAUGCGUAGAGAUAUGGAGGAACACCAGUGGCGAAGGCGACUUUCUGGUCUGUAACUGACACUGAGGCGCGAAAGCGUGGGG
Molecule: ribosomal RNA, 541 nt
Filed under: Bacillus mycoides
Lineage: Bacteria; Bacillati; Bacillota; Bacilli; Caryophanales; Bacillaceae
Description: bacterial SSU rRNA
Rfam family: Bacterial small subunit ribosomal RNA
Source: RNAcentral